RNAcentral lists this ribosomal RNA (318 nucleotides) under uncultured eukaryote. RNAcentral's name for it is "partial 18S ribosomal RNA". It matches the Rfam family "Eukaryotic small subunit ribosomal RNA", at positions 1470 to 1795 of the family's 1831-position model. The record is from RNAcentral.
CCCUUAGAUGUUCUGGGCUGCACGCGCGCUACACUGACGUACGCAACGAGUGUCCUUUACCGAGAGGUAUGGGUAAUCAUUUGAGUGUACGUCGUGAUGGGGAUAGAAUAUUGUAAUUAUUACUCUUCAACGAGGAAUUCCUAGUAAGCGCAAGUCAGCAGCUUGCGCUGAUUACGUCCCUGCCCUUUGUACACACCGCCCGUCGCUCCUACCGAUGGGUGAUCCGGUGAAUGAUUCGGACUCGGUUGCCUCUAGCCACUAGUGGCGCUCGAGAAAGUUUUGUGAACCUUAUCACUUGGAGGAAGGAGAAGUCGUAAC